This 276-nucleotide ribosomal RNA is filed under the name uncultured Peptoniphilus sp. Its description in RNAcentral is "partial 16S ribosomal RNA". It matches the Rfam family "Bacterial small subunit ribosomal RNA", at positions 81 to 356 of the family's 1533-position model. Lineage: Bacteria; Bacillati; Bacillota; Tissierellia; Tissierellales; Peptoniphilaceae. The record is from RNAcentral.
GAUAAGACGGAUUAGCGGCGGACGGGUGAGUAACACGUGAGUAACCUGCCUUUACACAGGGAUAGCCUCGGGAAACCGGGAUUAAAACCUGAUGAAACUAUCAAAUCACAUGAUUAAGAAAGUUAAAACUCCGGUGGUAAAAGAUGGACUCGCGUCCCAUUAGCUAGUUGGUGAAGGUAACGGCCCACCAAGGCAACGAUGGGUAGCCGGCCUGAGAGGGUGAACGGCCACAUUGGAACUGAGAAACGGUCCAAACUCCUACGGGAGGCAGCAGUG